This 23-nucleotide transfer RNA is filed under the name Ditrichum lineare. RNAcentral describes it as "partial transfer RNA-Phe". Lineage: Eukaryota; Viridiplantae; Streptophyta; Bryopsida; Pseudoditrichales; Ditrichaceae. The record is from RNAcentral.
GCGGAUUGUCCUUGGUACACGGA